UACAGGUACCACGAGGGGCUAUCCUACUUUAGGAACAGUAAAGGACGAUCCCUUGUUCUGCACUGCAGAAAGAUCACAAAAACAAAUAACAAGUAACAGGUCUAACAUAGUCGCCACCAACGCGACCUGCAGGCAGGUCCAACGACCCCCACAGCAAAGACGGUCAAAUCUCGGGUGGCUUUCCCAGUGAACAGUUGCAUCUCUCCCGGCCGCAAACAGUAUCAUCCUUCAGU
Molecule: long non-coding RNA, 233 nt
Filed under: Physcomitrium patens
Lineage: Eukaryota; Viridiplantae; Streptophyta; Bryopsida; Funariales; Funariaceae
Description: long non-coding RNA (PPAT_LNC004628)
Source: RNAcentral